Methanoregula formicica SMSP is the source of this 76-nucleotide regulatory RNA element. It matches the Rfam family "S15-Methanomicrobia ribosomal protein leader". The record is from Rfam. Lineage: Archaea; Methanobacteriati; Methanobacteriota; Methanomicrobia; Methanomicrobiales; Methanoregulaceae.
AGCACUGUUUAAUGUGCUGACAGAUGUAAGUCCGACGUGCGACCACCGCACUGCCUGAACAUGGCUUUGGGAUUAC